GGUACAAAACUGAUGUGCCUUGGCUUCCAAAGUUGUCCUCCUCCUCUGCUGUCAGGAGGCAGCGCGGUUCUUUGAGGCUUCAAGGCUCCAAGCAUCCGUGUCCUCUUUAAUUUCUUCCUCUUUGCCUUCAGGUUCCAGUCAGUGGAUUUGUCACAUGGAGCAUGGUUCUGAUCCCACUGCUUUGCGGCUCUGGGCUGCUUGGACUUUUGGAUAACGUAUAAACACCUUGCCUCUUCUGGCUACCAAAUCUCAUGUUAUAUUUAUUUAUUUAUUUAUUUAAAAUCUUU
This 287-nucleotide long non-coding RNA is filed under the name Mustela putorius furo (domestic ferret). RNAcentral describes it as "lncRNA (ENSMPUG00000026022.1)". Lineage: Eukaryota; Metazoa; Chordata; Mammalia; Carnivora; Mustelidae. The record is from RNAcentral.